UCUGGCCCCAACCCUGUUCGGGCGCCACUUGCCCCUCGGAACAAUUUGUUACUUAAACUGUAACCCUUGGAAGAUUUUAUUAGUUACCAAGCACAUUUAAAUAUGGCCUUAAGAAAUACAUAUACUGGCAACAGGUCUUUGGGGAGAAGGACAAUGUACGACAGUGAAGUUGGGCAGCCGAGAACGCCCGGCCCGUCCAGGGCGGAACACCGCCUGCUUCAGGGAAGCCAAGCACCUGGGAACGCCGGGUCAGCUCAGGGUGGAAUGAAAACCGCCUGCUUCCCUUAUCCGUUAUCGCUCCUUUCUCUUCCCAGAAGUGCCCGUUGUUAGUUAGAUGAGUCCUUUGAAUGUGCUUGGUUAACUAUAAACCUUACUCUCCUCCUUGCUUGCCUGCAAGAUGGGACUAACGUUUGACUUUUCAUCAAUCCUUCUGUUGCCUAUUUUCUAUCCAAUAAAAGUGAGACUGUGGAGUUGCUCCUGGCAGCAAUUCUUUUUGACUGUUGUCCCCUGCUCCCAAUCUCUUGCAGCUGACUUGUUUGUGCCUAAUUCUUCUCUCGUCGCCGACUGGAAGAGACGUCCACUCAAGCCGCAGAGGAGGAUGUGGGGAGUCCGCUUUACCCAGACCCUCGUCCCCUUGAACAUGGGAUAUCACAGAUGACUUCUUCUGUUGCCCCCUAACUGGUCUAACAUCCUGGAGGAACAUUGGACACCAUGAGUUACUGGCUGUUUUCCAAAAGACCACCCUCACUGCAGAUGCCAGGCGUAAAUCUCAUGGGUCCACAAGUCACCCACGUUUCUGGCCAAGUGGCUCUAAAUUCUAGGGUCCCUGCCAUGCCCAGACUAUUCAGUAAGUCACCUGGACAACUCGCAGAACUCAGGAAAGUGCCAGACUUGGGAUUCUUGUUUCACUGUAAGGACAGGCAAAGGUAAGUUCUGGAAGGUCCUAGAAGCAGAACUUCCAAGCCCCGUCGCCCAGGAGACAGGGUGUGUCACCUCCGGGCACAUGGGUGUGUUUACCAUCCAAGAAGCUCCCCUAAGCCUCAAUGCUCAGCAUUUUUAUUGGGGCUUGGGGUUUUAUUGGAUUGAUAUCUAGUGGCUCGAAGCACCAACACUCUCAGUCACACAGUUGGUCUCUACGGUGUGGCUGACCCCCAUCCGGAUUCCUCCCUUUGCAUCAACAAUCAGUCAUCUCAUUACUGUAAACUAUCAGGGCCCACCAAGAAUAACAAAGAACUCCUGUCACUUGGAAAAUCCCAAGGAUUCAGUUUCCCUCCUAAGAACCAGGAACGAGGGCCAAAUUCUUCCUGGUGCAACAUCUCUUGACUGGUCUUGAUGGGUAAGUAACCUCUUGUCUUUUAAGCAAUAUCCACUCAAAAAAUAUUUAGAGGCAGCCCCCCGCUUCCCUCCUGCACAGCUCAGGGAGAAGCUAAACGUGAAUGAUGGGUACAGUCCCUGACCUCCUGGUGCUCAGAAUCCACUGGAGAUUAGAGCAUUACAACACAGUGGGGAGCCUGAGGUCGGGACAGGAAGGCCGAGCCACGGGCACCCUCAGAAGGAGCAGUGAACUGUGGCAAUGAGCCAAGGAAGAGGGGGAGAAAAAGUUCUAGGUGGAUGGCAUAGGUGUCAAAGCUGAGAGGCACAAAGGAAGCUGACCAGUCAAGGGGCUGAAGGAAGUUCAGAGGACUUUGCAUCUAGAGCACGAGGGGAGAAUGGAGAGAUACAGGGCUGGAAAGUUCUGUGGGGGGUGCUGGGUGACGGCUACAGGCUCAACCCCAGUACAAGGACACGCUGUGUUUUCCUCAAACACAGCAUUCAUGAUGCCAGGCCUUUGUUUAGAAACCUACUGUGGUUACCCCUGAGCUUCUGCGGCUUGGUGCUGGGCCAGAGCUCAUAAUUCAUAGCUGGGUUUCUUAAGCUCCAAUCAAUCAGUUUGGAUGGGAAAUGGUUGCACUUUUUUCCAGUGAGCUCUUGUUUGAAAUUUUGUGUCUCCUAUAAGCGCGACUGUAGAUCCGAGAGCCCAGCAGUAUGAGGAGUAACAGAGCGUCUGUGUUACGCGUUAUACCCACCAGACCUGCUGCUAGACCUUGCUAACAGAAUAACAAAGAAGCACAUUUUUAUUCAAACAAAAAUCUGGAGUUUUAAUUUCGAUUAUUGUAUUUAACUAUAUUCAUUUCCUGGGGCGCCUGAUGGGGCUCAGUAGAUUAAGUCUCUGGCUCUGGCUCCAGUCAUGAUCCUGGGGUCCUGGGAUCGAGUCCUGUAUUGGGCUCCCUGCUCAGUGGGAAGCCCGCUUUCCUCACUCCCUCUGCUGCUCCCCCUGCUUGUGCUUUCUCGCUUGCUCUCAAAUAAACAAAAAACUUUUUUUUUUUUAAAGAUUUUA
Neogale vison (American mink) is the source of this 2377-nucleotide long non-coding RNA. NCBI's taxonomy places the organism in Eukaryota, Metazoa, Chordata, Mammalia, Carnivora, Mustelidae. The record is from Ensembl.